ACCCGCUGAACUUAAGCAUAUCAAUAAGCGGAGGAAAAGAAACCAACAGGGAUUGCCCUAGUAACGGCGAGUGAAGCGGCAACAGCUCAAAUUUGAAAUCUGGCUUCGGCCCGAGUUGUAAUUUGCAGAGGAUGUUUAUGGUGCGGUACUUUCCGAGUUCCCUGGAACGGGACGCCACAGAGGGUGAGAGCCCCGUCUGGAUGGAUACCAAACCUGUGUUAAACUCCUUCAACGAGUCGAGUAGUUUGGGAAUGCUGCUCUAAAUGGGAGGUAAAUCUCUUCUAAAGCUAAAUAUAGGCCAGAGACCGAUAGCGCACAAGUAGAGUGAUCGAAAGAUGAAAAGCACCUUGAAAAGGGGGUUAAACAGUACGUGAAAUUGUUGAAAGGGAAGCGUUUAUGACCAGACUUGUGUCGUGUGGCUCAUCCGAGGUUCUCCCCGGUGCACUCCACGCGGCUCAGGCCAACAUCGGUUUUUGUCGGAGGAUAAGAAUAGUAGGAACGUAGCUCUUCCUCGGAAGAGUGUUAUAGCCUAUUAUACGAUACUUUGAUAGAGACCGAGGACCGCGCUUCGGCUAGGAUGUUGGCGUAAUGGCCAUUAGCGACCCGUCUUGAAACACGG
This 619-nucleotide ribosomal RNA is filed under the name uncultured fungus. RNAcentral describes it as "eukaryotic LSU rRNA". It matches the Rfam family "Eukaryotic large subunit ribosomal RNA", at positions 23 to 664 of the family's 3401-position model. The record is from RNAcentral. Lineage: Eukaryota; Fungi.